AGUGAACGCUGGCGGUAGGCCUAACACAUGCAAGUCGAACGGCAGCACAGUAAGAGCUUGCUCUUACGGGUGGCGAGUGGCGGACGGGUGAGGAAUACAUCGGAAUCUACUUUUUCGUGGGGGAUAACGUAGGGAAACUUACGCUAAUACCGCAUACGACCUACGGGUGAAAGCAGGGGAUCUUCGGACCUUGCGCGAUUGAAUGAGCCGAUGUCGGAUUAGCUAGUUGGCGGGGUAAAGGCCCACCAAGGCGACGAUCCGUAGCUGGUCUGAGAGGAUGAGCAGCGACACUGGAACUGAGACACGGUCCAGACUCAUACGGGAGGCAGCAGUGGGGAAUAUUGGACAAUGGGCGCAAGCCUGAUCCAGCCAUAACGAGUGGGUGAAGAAGGCCUUCGGGUUGUAAAGCCCUUUUGUUGGGAAAGAAAAGCAGCAGGUUAAUACCCCGCUGUUCUGACGGUACCCAAAGAAUAAGCACCGGCUAACUUCGU
This 491-nucleotide ribosomal RNA is filed under the name uncultured bacterium. RNAcentral describes it as "partial 16S ribosomal RNA". It matches the Rfam family "Bacterial small subunit ribosomal RNA", at positions 29 to 506 of the family's 1533-position model. The record is from RNAcentral.